GACACUCGGCAACGGAUAUCUCGGCUCUCGCAUCGAUGAAGAACGUAGCGAAAUGCGAUACCUGGUGUGAAUUGCAGAAUCCCGUGAACCAUCGAGUCUUUGAAUGCAAGUUGCGCCCGAGGCCACUCGGCCGAGGGCACGCCUGCCUGGGCGUCA
This 156-nucleotide ribosomal RNA is filed under the name Triticum aestivum (bread wheat). RNAcentral's name for it is "rRNA 5_8S_rRNA". It matches the Rfam family "5.8S ribosomal RNA". From Rfam's summary of the family: 5.8S ribosomal RNA (5.8S rRNA) is a component of the large subunit of the eukaryotic ribosome. It is transcribed by RNA polymerase I as part of the 45S precursor that also contains 18S and 28S rRNA. Lineage: Eukaryota; Viridiplantae; Streptophyta; Magnoliopsida; Poales; Poaceae. The record is from RNAcentral.